This 505-nucleotide ribosomal RNA is filed under the name uncultured bacterium. RNAcentral describes it as "partial 16S ribosomal RNA". It matches the Rfam family "Bacterial small subunit ribosomal RNA", at positions 899 to 1397 of the family's 1533-position model. The record is from RNAcentral.
ACUCAAAUGAAUUGACGGGGGCCCGCACAAGCGGCGGAGCGCGUUGCUUAAUUCGAUGCAAAGCGAAGAACCUUACCCAGGCUUGACAUGCGAGAAGUAGGCGGCUGAAAGGUCGUCCGACCCGUAAAGUCGGGUACUCGUGCAGGUGUUGCAUGGCUGUCGUCAGCUCGUGCCGUGAGGUGUUGGCUUAAGUGCCGCAACGAGCGCAACCCUCGUCAUAUGUUGCCAGCGGGUAAUGCCGGGCACUCAUAUGAGACUGCCGGGGAAACCCCGGAGGAAGGAGAGGAUGACGUCAAGUCAGCAUGGCCCUUACGCCUGGGGCUGCAAACGCGCUACAAUGCGCGGUACAGCGGGCUGCGAAACCGCAAGGUAGAGCGAAUCCCGAAAAACCGCGCCCAGUUCGGAUCGGGGUCUGCAACUCGACCCCGUGAAGUUGGAGUCGCUAGUAAUGGCAGAUCAGCAUGCUGCCGUGAAUGCGUUCCCGGGCCUUGCACACACCGCCCGU